RNAcentral lists this unclassified non-coding RNA (159 nucleotides) under uncultured Piloderma. RNAcentral's name for it is "sequence contains ITS1". The record is from RNAcentral. Lineage: Eukaryota; Fungi; Basidiomycota; Agaricomycetes; Atheliales; Atheliaceae.
UCGAAAUUAUAGGCGAGGGUUGUAGCUGGCCUCCCGGGGCACGUGCACGCCCGAGCCCUUAAUCCACACACACCUGUGAACCUAUUGUAAGGGCCCGUGAAAAGGCCUUUACGUUUUAUCAUCAACCCACUGUAUGUCUCUUGAACAAAAAACAAGAAA